This 120-nucleotide ribosomal RNA is filed under the name Neogale vison (American mink). Lineage: Eukaryota; Metazoa; Chordata; Mammalia; Carnivora; Mustelidae. The record is from RNAcentral.
GUCUACGGCCAUACCACCCUGAACGCGCCCAAUCUCGUCUGAUCUCGGAAGCUAAGCAGGGUUGGGCCUGGUUAGUACUUGGAUGGGAGAGUUAUCAUGAAAUGACCUAACCUUUACAUU